Oncorhynchus tshawytscha (Chinook salmon) is the source of this 332-nucleotide long non-coding RNA. Lineage: Eukaryota; Metazoa; Chordata; Actinopteri; Salmoniformes; Salmonidae. The record is from Ensembl.
CUCUAAUCAGGGACUGAUUUAGACCUGGGACACCAGGUGGGUGAUUCCCCUCUAAUCAGGGACUGAUUUAGACCUGGGACACCAGGUGGGUGAUUCCCCUCUAAUCAGGGACUGAUUUAGACCUGGGACACCAGGUGGGUGAUUCCCUCUAAUCAGGGACUGAUUUAGACCUGGGACACCAGGUGGGUGAUUCCCCUCUAAUCAGGGACUGAUUUAGACCUGGGACACCAGGUGGGUGAUUCCCUCUAAUCAGGGACUGAUUUAGACCUGGGACACCAGGUGGGUGAUUCCCCUCUAAUCAGGGACUGAUUUAGACCUGGGACACCAGGUGG